UACAGAGGUCUCAAGCGUUGUUCGGAUUCAUUGGGCGUAAAGGGUGCGUAGGCGGCGUGGUAAGUCGGGUGUGAAAUCUUGGAGCUUAACUCCGAAACUGCAUUCGAUACUGCCGUGCUUGAGGACUGGAGAGGAGACUGGAAUUUACGGUGUAGCGGUGAAAUGCGUAGAUAUCGUAAGGAAGACCAGUGGCGAAGGCGGGUCUCUGGACAGUUCCUGACGCUGAAGCACGAAGGCCAGGGGAGCAAACGGG
This 253-nucleotide ribosomal RNA is filed under the name uncultured bacterium. RNAcentral describes it as "partial 16S ribosomal RNA". It matches the Rfam family "Bacterial small subunit ribosomal RNA", at positions 524 to 776 of the family's 1533-position model. The record is from RNAcentral.